GCAAUGGGUUCAAUAAAACGGAACUCUCCUCCAGCCUCUCUGUGGCGAGUCAGAGGAAGUGGCAUCUCUUAUCUGUUACCAGUGUGUCGGCACUCGACAAACUUGUAACAACCCUGAAGAGAUAGAAUGUGCAGAGGAUGAAGACAACUGUGUCAGCCUCGCUGUUUCAUUGGAGCUUUACAGUAACACCUUCAACUUUGCUACGAAGACUUGUAGCAGCUCCAGUCACUGUAUACCAGGCAUUUACAGAACCACUGAAGAAACUGGUUUUUCCUUUUCUUCGAAUGUCCAUUGUUGCAAUUCUGAUCUAUGCAAUGGAGAACAUAACCAGAGGCCACCUACCUUAAACCUUCAACCCAAUGGCCUUGAGUGCCCGAGCUGCUUAGACCUUGAUACGGAUAAUUGCCAAGCUGAUGACACUGUCGCUUGCCUGGGUGAUGAGACUGAAUGCGUAUACGUAGGUCUUGCUGUCCAAGCACCUGGAGAUUUAGAUACAGCUUUGGCUUUCCGGAGCUGUGGAACGCCAGGUUUUUGUCAAAUCCCAAGAGGAGUUCUACACGCUGAAGGUGGAUUAGUUAAUGCCAGCUUCACCCAUAUAAAAUGCAGCAAUCCUCAGCAAAUAGAUCAACAAGCUGAGCUCAGCAUUGAAGGAUAGAUAGGAGAGAGCAAAACCUUUCCCCUCCGCCACGGAUUCUACCACUUUUAGGAAUCUCGGGCAGGGGUGUGUGUGGAGUGGGGAGCUUAGUAGUUACAGGACCAAGGAUCUGGGGCUCGAGUCUCCCAUGAUCAUCUUCUGAGCAUUUGGUGCAGGUGGAUGGGAUGUCAUAAGUCAAGUAAAAAGGGUCAAAUUUGGAGGUUUGGGGACUAAAAUGAAAGAAAAAGUAGUGUGUGAGUUAAAUUCUCAUUGA
Long non-coding RNA from Hemicordylus capensis (graceful crag lizard), 908 nucleotides. RefSeq lists it as uncharacterized. The transcript has 5 exons. The record is from RefSeq and is a predicted model, not a curated record. NCBI's taxonomy places the organism in Eukaryota, Metazoa, Chordata, Lepidosauria, Squamata, Cordylidae.